Molecule: ribosomal RNA, 253 nt
Filed under: uncultured bacterium
Lineage: Bacteria
Description: partial 16S ribosomal RNA
Rfam family: Bacterial small subunit ribosomal RNA
Source: RNAcentral
UACGUAGGGGACCAGCGUUGUCCGGAUUUACUGGGCGUAAAGAGCGCGCAGGCGGUCGUUCAAGUCGAGUGUGAAAGCCCCCGGCUCAACUGGGGAGGGUCAUUCGAUACUGAUCGACUGGAAGGCAGGAGAGGGAAGUGGAAUUCCCGGUGUAGUGGUGAAAUGCGUAGAUAUCGGGAGGAACACCAGUGGCGAAGGCGACUUCCUGGCCUGUUCUUGACGCUGAGGCGCGAAAGCUAGGGUAGCAAACGGG